AUUAUCUCUCCAGUUUCAGGGUUAAAUAUUUGAGAUAUCACAAAAUAAACUUUUCAAAUCAAUGGGAAGGUGGAAGCAUUUUUAUGUUCCAACAUGGGGCUCGGUGAAGUUACAGAUAAAAAAAUGAUAUAUUUUUGUCGUCUUCUGGAUAGUAAACUAUUGUGCAGCACAAUAAAAUCGACGGAACAGUGCAUUUUUAUGAGAAAUACACGAGAAAUAAUGACGCUUGUUGAUAAAUGUUUCCGGUGUGCGGUAGAAUGCGACAUUCCGACAACGCUUUCGUGAGACUUCGGUACUCUUCGCCUCCCCUCCACAACGGCAAACUUCGGCUCACCGUGACCCGAUGAUUAAUUCCGUUGCGUGAAAUUGAGAUUUGUAUCCAAUCACCCAUUUAGGCCAUCUUUCGUAUUAUGUAAUUUUAGACAUAAUCUCAAGAUAAUCCAUUUUGAUUUUAAACAAACCAUUUACGUUAUUUACAAUCUAGAAGAUAUUUUCUUGAUCAUUGAAAGUCUAAAUUUGUGCAAUAAUUCAUCACCAGUUGUGGCUGUUUGCGGUGAAAUUUUCGCAUCAUUUGUUUGUGUCGCAUGUGUAUUGGGCUGGUUGGUUUCGAUGACCACAACUUAAAGGAUCUGUUGCUUCAGCCGUUUGACGUCGAUUUACGAUACCGAUAUAGAAGUUUUCCUGAGCCGAUAAAGAAAGUUGACUCGACCGCAUAGUAAUAUUUCUCAGCCCUGCAGUUUGCACCGAGAGUGUAAGGCACCGAAGUAAUUUUCAUUUGAAAUCGCACUAUAAAAAUUCACAAAUUGUCCCUGUGGGAUAAUUCCAGAGACCUGUCAUCUAAGAUGGCAGACGUUAUGAGCGAUCACGUUUCUUUCAGAUCUUGGACAUCAACAAAUCGAAAUCCCAGCCCAGUGGGACAACAAGGUUCUUGCAAAUUUUCGAAGUUGGCUUAGGAGAAUAUAACCCAGGCUUCCUGACUCACAUCAUCGUCCAGACACAUCUUCGAUUGACUGAAUCUUUCAUCAAUCAAGGACCAAUUAAGAAAUUCGGAGAAGCCGAGUCGACGUGGAUUCCUACGCUAUCAUCGAAUAAAAUGUUCUCCACUUUUCAAAAACUCACGUUUCUAAUGGUUUUCUAGUCGCUUCUCCUUUUAUCAAACUUGCAUUCAUUGAGAACGUGCAAGCCACUCAAUGUGUCACUGUAAUUACUGAAGUACUGAAUAAUCCGCUAGCACUAAAGUCAGUGAUGAAUGCGUUCAGCCGUGGAGGAAUAACUAUUAGAGUAUCACUCUAACAGACUAUGGGACAAGUGAGUGAACCUUCGCAUACACGGACAAAAAUUUUGUAUAGAAAAAUUCUAGUGUUAGUAUGAAAAGAGAGGAGCGGACUUUGAUUGUCCGAAUCAUAAUUAUUCAUUUGUAUUUCUAUGAAAAUCUCACAGAGGCUCCCAACAGUUUUACUAGGAAUUCCGAAAAAUUCCGGACUCCUUGUAAAACUCAUUCACAAUGCUUUAAACAUUUGGAGACAUUAACAUCAAUGAAGCAAGGUUGGAUAGAUCUGUAGUAUUGGCAAUUUAUUCUUAGAGCUUAAUGAUUGUAUUUUAGAGUAGGAUUAAGAAUCGCGGGAUGAAGUUCUCCCUAGUGUAGCUAUAAGAUUUUAUUGUAGACGUAGAAAUAGGUGCUAUUUGCAUAGAUGGUACAGGGAUUCGAGCACGUACGAUAAGAGUACCUUGACAGCCAUAUUUUGUGGGUUUAUGAGCAGCCCUCAGAUGUAACAGGGGAACGUCGUUUCCAGCCAGCGAGGUCCAGAGCCGCUUGGACCACGUGACUCUAGAGUUCAGUAGAAGGUAGUUAGAGGUCAGAGUAGAAGGUAGUCAGCGUGAAGAUCUGAUAGUUAGAGCGUAGACGAGGUGUGGAACGAGUGCCACCCUAAGUGUUUUGUAAGUGUUGGAAAUCCGCCUAAAUUCUGGACCCUUCCUUCCCCCGCGGCGACUCGCCGAUCGUAUGGCCCCUGGAUCAUAACAAUCCAGUGUUACCAGGUGCCUAACUCAAAUAUUUGACGGUUGAGGCGCCACUUCCUGGACGUCUCAAUCCCGGAAAUACGUGCUAAACGUUGUGGAAUAGAUCACGUGGUGAGAAUUAGGCCAAUUGUCGCUCGUGACCUCACUCAUCGAUCUCUCUCCAUGUGGAUCUCUCAAAGUGAACAUCGCUGUGCGUGAUCUCGCAGUGUUCUUUUUAUUCAGUAUAUUCUCAGGGUUUUUCUCAUACACAUAUUAACUCAUCGUGACCGCUCAAUAAACUUAAUGUCAGUAUUGUUCUCAUCAACCCCUUCACAUAAAGUGAUCAAUGUUAAAUCUCAAAACGGUAAAUUGUGUGUGCUGUGAAAUCUCCCGGUCCCGCUCAUUUUUCACCACCCCCCUUAUCCCGGUCUCCCUACUCGUCCUCCUCGCUCUCCCCAAAGCAAGUCGUUUUCCAAACAGUAAGAGUAGCGUAUUGUUUAACGUAGUUUCAAGUCGUAUAUUUAUAAUAAUAACUUAAACAUAAUAUUUAGAAAUGUUUAAUAGUGUAUAGUGGUAUAAAUAAAAAUAUAUAUAAAUCUGUUAAACGUUUGUGUCUUUACAACAAACUUGCGUUGGCCCACAUAUCCCACAGAUCUACUUACUAAUAAUUAUUAUGUG
This is a long non-coding RNA of Diachasmimorpha longicaudata, 2676 nucleotides long. RefSeq lists it as uncharacterized. The record is from RefSeq and is a predicted model, not a curated record. NCBI's taxonomy places the organism in Eukaryota, Metazoa, Arthropoda, Insecta, Hymenoptera, Braconidae. The transcript is spliced from 3 exons.